AUUGAACGCUGGCGGCAUGCUUUACACAUGCAAGUCGAACGGUAACAGCACUUCGGUGGCUGACGAGUGGCGAACGGGUGAGUAAUACAUCGGAACGUGCCUAGUAGUGGGGGAUAACUACUCGAAAGAGUAGCUAAUACCGCAUGAGAUCUAAGGAUGAAAGCAGGGGACCUUCGGGCCUUGCGCUACUAGAGCGGCUGAUGGCAGAUUAGGUAGUUGGUGGAUAAAAGCUUACCAAGCCGACGAUCUGUAGCUGGUCUGAGAGGACGACCAGCCACACUGGGACUGAGACACGGCCCAGACUCCUACGGGAGGCAGCAGUGGGGAAUUUUGGACAAUGGGCGCAAGCCUGAUCCAGCAAUGCCGCGUGCAGAAUGAAGGCCUUCGGGUUGUAAACUGCUUUUGUACGGAACGAAAAGCCCUCUUCUAAUACAGGAGGGUCAUGACGGUACCGUAAGAAUAAGCACCGGCUAACUACGUG
This 481-nucleotide ribosomal RNA is filed under the name uncultured bacterium. RNAcentral describes it as "partial 16S ribosomal RNA". It matches the Rfam family "Bacterial small subunit ribosomal RNA", at positions 30 to 507 of the family's 1533-position model. The record is from RNAcentral.